UCAUAGUUGGAACUAGGUUUAGGUCAUCUAGUUCACCUCACGAUGAGCAACGAUUUACUUGUCCCUAUUAUCAAUAAUGUGAUCUUGGCCUCAUUUGACUGAGUCAUUCCUUUAGUGCUGUUACUUUGAAAAAAUCAAAGUGCUCAAGUAAGCCUACACUUGUAUUCAUUAGCAUAAGGUAACAUUAUAGGAUUUCAAUCCUAAUGUGUUGGCCUUUGAGAUCGAAGUAAUGAUUGAUAGGGAUAGUCAGGGGCAUUCAUAUUUCACAGUCAGAGGUGAAAUUCUUGGAUUUAUGAAAGAUGAAUAACUAUGAAAGCAUUUGCCAAGGAUGUUUUCAUUAAUCAAGAGUGAAAGUUGAGAGCUUGAAGAUGAUCAAAUACUGUCCUAGUGUCAACCAUAAAUGAUGUAGACUAUAGAUUGAUGGAUGUUACUUUUAAGACUCUGUCGACACCUUAUGAGAAAUCAAAGUCUUUAGGUUUCAAAGGAAGUAUGGUCGCAAGGCUGAAACUUAAAGGAAUUGAUGGAAGGGCACCACCAAGAGUGGAGCUUACAGCUUAAUUUGACUCAACACAAGAAAACUUACUAGGUCUAGACAUAGUAAGGAUUGAUAGAUCAAAAGAUCUUUCUUAAUUUUAUGGGUGAUGUUGCAUGGCCAUUCUUAGUUGGUGGAGUGAUUUGUCUUGUUAAUUCCAUUAACAAACGAGACCUUAGCUUGCUAACUAGCUACACAAAGGUGAUCCUUUAUGGAUAGCUUCUUAGAAUGACUAUGGCCACUUAGGCCAAGGAAGUUUGAGGCAAUAAUAGGUUUGUGAUGCCCUUUAGAUGUUCUAGGCUGCAUGCACGCUAGACUAAUGUAUCUAACGAGAGGUAAUCUUUGAAAUUUCACCAUGAUGGGGAUAGAUCAUUGUAAUUGUUGGUCUUGAAUGAGGAAUUCCUAGUAAGCGUGAGUCACUAGCUCACGUUGACUAUGUCCUUACCCUUUGUACACAUCACCUAUCGUUUUUACUAAUGGAAUGGUUAGGUGAAGUGUUUGGAUCGUGGCAAUGUGGAUGGUUCGUUCUCAUGAUGUUAUAAGAAGUCUACUGAACCUUAUCAUUUAGAGGAAGGAGAAGUCAUAACAAGGUUUCUUUAGGUGAACCUGUGGAAA
RNAcentral lists this ribosomal RNA (1147 nucleotides) under Durio zibethinus. RNAcentral describes it as "SSU rRNA". It matches the Rfam family "Eukaryotic small subunit ribosomal RNA", at positions 628 to 1823 of the family's 1831-position model. Lineage: Eukaryota; Viridiplantae; Streptophyta; Magnoliopsida; Malvales; Malvaceae. The record is from RNAcentral.